UUUGUUAUGUUUUCCCUCCAUUGUACCGAACCUAACCGUGAUGUCUGAACCGAACCGUGACUUCUGUGUACCGUUCCACCCCUGCAACAAAGCCAUGG
Molecule: long non-coding RNA, 98 nt
Organism: Etheostoma cragini (Arkansas darter)
Lineage: Eukaryota; Metazoa; Chordata; Actinopteri; Perciformes; Percidae
Exons: 3
Source: RefSeq, a predicted model, not a curated record